UCCGGGAGGGUGGUUCCGGGAGGAGGUCCGGACGGGUCUGGUGCCAGGAGGAGUGGGAGGAGUUCCAGGGCGGGGCCGGCGAGGGAAGCGCGCCCCUGCUGGGCCUGGAGGACAAGUGGCCAGCCGCCGCAGGUUUCCUGCGCCCCCGCCCGGAGAAGACUCCGAGGAACAGUUCACGUUUUACAGCCGUCAACGUGAAGGCAAAACUGAACGACUGUAGCCCGGCGCGGCCCACACCUGUCAUCCCAGACUCAGGAGGCUGAGGCAGGAGGAUCGCAAGUUGGAGGCCAGCCUGGGCAACUUAAGGAGACCCUGUCUCCAAGUAAAAACUGAUAAAGGGUGGGCUGUAGCCGCGUGGUACAGUGCCCAGGGGUUCAAACCCCAGUACUAGAAAUAAAUAAAUAAAUAAAGUCGGCCAUGCUACCAUCUAAUUUUUUAAAAAUAUUUUUAUUUUAUUUUUUAGGUGUAGAUGGACACAACACAACGCCUUUAUUUUUAUGUGGUGCUGAGGAUCGAACCCGGGUCCCGCCUGUGCUGGGCGAGCGCUCUACCCCUGAGCCACAAUCCCAGCCCUAAUAUGGUGGUUCAGCUGCGAUCCUGUGACUUCAUGGUGGAAAGCCAUUUGCACUCAGCGGAAACCACACUUGGAGUUCUGAAUUCUGGCCUCUGCCCAGGCUCGCAGCAGGUAAAGGGACACUCCAGCCCUGCUGUGGGAGGGGCAGCCACGCAGUCAGACAGUCCACACUGCAGCUGAAGGGACCUUUCACGGUUCUUCAGACACAGAGUGUCUUAGCUGUGCACCGCAGUGGGCAGCGCUCAUGCGGCCCUCUGGCCUCCACUGCCAGUACCUGUUGAGUCAAUGACAUGGGAUGUUCAACACCCGAGGACAGACUGCUGGGUCUGCCAACUGUCUGCUAAAGCUGGUGUGAGCCUGGGGGACAGGCCCCACUAGGCCGCCACUUGCGGUAGGUUUGGUGUGCUUUCAGCUGAUAUUUUCACUUUACGAGGGGUUUAUCAGGAAGUAAUCCCAUCAAAGUUUGAGCAUCUGUGUAGCUGAUAAAAAAGAAAAAAGGAAUCUAACCUUUUGAUGAGCCUGGAUUUAUCUUUUCAGAGCAAUCAGCUAAAAAAAAGAUCACAUUCUCAGCUGUUCCCUCAGCCUAGCAAAUCAAGCAACUAGAAACCCGGAGAUGUUGAACCAGACUGUGCUAGUUUACAUCUCCAAAGCAGACUGACUCCAGGGCUUCAGGAAGAUUGCACAGGAAGCACACGUCCACCUCAUUCUGUUCCCUUCCUCUAAUGACUGCAAAUACUAAGCCACAUCCUCAUCUCCUCUCCCCUCCACCUGACGGAUUUCCGCUGGCCCUUCAGGCUGGGGAUGUGCUCCGUGUACAGCAUGUGCCUGGCGUACACCUGUGAGGUCCUGGGUUUGAUUCCCGGCAGCUUGGACAUGGCUGUGUUUCCCUGUGUGCUUCAGGAGUGGUUUCUAAUGACCUGUCCUCUCUCACUGCCUCCUGACCCACUCCAUGGACACUGCGGGUUGCCACAUCUCAGCAGCAGCGCUUCACAGCUGCCCACUCCUUUCAGACACCUUCUUCUGGUUCUCCUUCAAGUCACUGCUCCCUCCCUCCCUCCCUCUCUCUCUCUCAUCUGGCUCCUGCUCCUCUGGAUGGUCCCAAUGGUCUCUCCCUGUCCAUUCUCACCAACCCAGUGGCCUCACAUAGUCCACCCCAUGCUGCUGACUCCCCUGUCCACACCUCCAGUCUGAACCCCUUUCCAGAACCUCAGGUUUGAGUAUCCACAAGUCUCCAACCUAACCUGGCCUUUCCUGUAUCAGGGAGCAGCAGUGGCUUCUUCCAAAGCUGGGUACUUUGCUCUUUCUCCCUCACACUCCACAUCCAGUCCACCCUAACUGCAAAUCCUCUCACUUGACCCUCAAAACACCAUACCCCCAUCCACUGGCCUCAUCCCACUCUUUCCACCACCUCUUGGCUGGUGGAACUGACCUCUGAAGUUGCCUCCUGUGACUGCUUUUGCCCCAGUGCAACCAUUCCCUGCAAAGCAGCCAGUGACCUUCUAAAAGCCAUGUCAUGCCAGUCCCCAUGUUAACCCUGCUUUUUGAACUCCAGACCCUGGCCACCCCCAACCCUGCCACCUCCCCUCCUGCGCUCUGCUCUCCAGACCUCUGGCCUUUUAGCAUGUGGAUCUCCUGCUCCUCCUGCCUCAGGUCCUUACCCAGGCAGGUUUCCCCGAGAUGCUCUUCCUGACUCAAAUGCUUUCCCCUACAGACACCCAGUUGCAGAGAAGCUGCCCUGGCCAUUCCUACAUGCUGGCCGCGGAGCCUCCCCGUAGGCACGUGCAUGUUCCUUGUUAGGUUCCGUGAGGACAUUUGAAUCAACAUCUGCAGACACCCGUCAACCUCAUGUCUGUGGUAUGAUUCCUGUGUGGUGUCACAGCUGUGCAUACCUUCGGGUCACUCGUUCAGCGCUUAGCACACAGUACCCCAAGAAAAGCUCGUGAACACUGCCCUCCCGAGUUUUCACACCAUCACUGUAAUGGCCUCCUGCCCCACGUCAGCGCUUCUAGUGACGCAGCACAAGCUCAGUGUGAGAAUUUUCUGCACAGUGGUGCCCUCAGGACCACUCUGGGCAGCUGGGAGUACCUGUCACCCACAGUUGAAAGGUGAGAUACCUGAGGCACAGGAACUCACCUAACUUCAGGUCACAUGGCCAGGAAGUGACAAGGCUGGGGUUUGAAUUCAGUCUCUACAGUAGCUGCUAAAAUGCAGUGCCAGCAGCAGUGGUCCUGAGCCUGGGGGAGCACUUAACACCCCGCCCAGGUGCAGCCGCCCAGCAGCCUACAUCUGCCCUUGCCGGCCUCCAUCCUGAGCAGAUGUCUUUUCCUUCCCACUGGAACAGGGGAAAGGGGAGCAGUUCUGUGCCAUAAAAAACUUUGCUUUGGAAAAGCAAGAUGAGCAGGGUGCGGAGGGACUGGCGGGGAAACAGGUGCUGUGUCUGCUGCCCCCAGCACUCCAGCAGGACAACUGAGGGAAAUGGCACUCGCUGCUUUCCUGUGGACACCACAGCCCAUGCGUUCUGCCUUUGGAGAAUCUUUGACAUGUUUCUUCCAGAAAAACAGCCACCAACAGCCCAGAAAUGUUUCACGACCAGGUUUCAUUACCACCAUGAGACUGGGGAAGAACCUGUUGAGGUGUUCUGAAAGAUGGCCUCCUCCGCUGCAGAGAAGUGCCCUGGAAGACCAGGUGACCCAAGCCACUGAAACCAGGGACACGGACACCGCCCUAGGCAAACAUGCUCCAUGAAGGGCCAGAGUCAACACGUUAGGCUUUGCAGGCCAACAGGAGAAACUGAAGCGUACUUGACCUCUCCUGGCCUGCGGGAAGAGCGAUGAAGAGUGAGAUUUUGCCCGGCUUGCAGGCUGUUGGCCUCACCCAGAUUCCCAGAUGUAACAGGACUGAGGCCCCCUGGGUGAGAGACGUGGCACAGUCAACUGUUCAAGAGCAGAAGCAGUAGCCAGACUGCUGGCGCUGGGGAUCUCUGAGGGAGCUGCGAGGUGCUCUGACCACAGGUCUCAGGACUGGGCAGCAAGUCGGGAACGUGGGAGGCAGAUGUUCACACCAAAACCAAACUCUGCAGCCUGGUGCCUCAGAGGCUCUGGUGGAGAGAGUACACAGUGAGCAGAACUGCUCUCAGCCCUCAUCUUCAUUCAGGUCCUCUCCCCCAGGGCCAUUCCUGCUAAGACCCAGCCAGAGCAAGGCCAGGCAGAGUCUACGGAAAAGCCAUCUGGGCUAAUGACUUCCAGCUGGAACAGCCUGAGGGCUUUGUGGGAAACACACAGAGCAGGGGAGAAAGGCCAACAGAUAACACACAGACACACCUGGGCACUACUCAAGAGGCCUGGACACACAGCCAAAAAAAAACCACUUGCUGUGAAACACAAGGGCCUGUCUAUCAGUAAACCUGGGGUUAACAGCAAGACCUGCAUAAGAAAACCAGCCAUGAGAGAUGGG
Long non-coding RNA from Marmota monax (woodchuck), 4027 nucleotides. RefSeq lists it as uncharacterized. The record is from RefSeq and is a predicted model, not a curated record. NCBI's taxonomy places the organism in Eukaryota, Metazoa, Chordata, Mammalia, Rodentia, Sciuridae. The transcript has 3 exons.